GAGUGAACUAACAUUCAAAGGAAGGUGCAGCGAUUCGGGACCCCUAUACGAGGCUAGAAGUUUGUAUACAUUUGCCCUGAAGACACCUCUGAAAGGAAGGCGAUUGUCCGGCUGAAUUCCAUAUCCCUUGGUAGGGGCUAGCAAAUGAUUCCAUCAGAACAUCAGGACAAGAUGCGUAUGUGACUGCCAAUUGCUUUGACUUCAUCCGGGGCCCUUGCUGCAAAACCGAGAUUCUCUGCGAAACUUGGUGGACCUUUAGUAGAGGGUUUGAACCAGCUAACACCGAUUUCUUCUGGAGCGGAUGGCGAUAUUUGGGAUUUGCAUGAGGCCUUGAUAUAUCGUGGCUCACCAGAAGAAGAGAAGGGCCUUCGCCAAGCAGCUGUGCAUGGAGGAAGAAGAUUUUGCAGAUAGAGAACCGUCGAGCAGUUAUGGUGGUGUUUGUUUGGUAAGAAGAUAGAUGGCAGCGACGAUAUGGUUCCUGGAUGCCUUUCUGGAUUGCUGACCUUCCUUUAAGAAAACUUCAUGAAUUGUGCAAUAAUAGAUUUACUUAGACUAUGGACUGGUAUGGAUUUUUAGACCCAGUUAAUUACGUAGUCGUCUUCUAUCCGGUGUAAGCCGGCUCUUUGUGCAACAAUUGAUAUAGAUAUGUAUAUUUAAUCCUUUGAGAAAUGUUUCAUUCCUUUAAAACAUAAAAAUAUUCCUAGGAUAAAUAGUGUAGUAAUUUUCUUUCCUCUCGGUGCCAGCCGGAUAGUAUUUUCAUAUGACUAUACAUAUAAAUUUAUUCUUUCAGAAUACUCAAUGCAAACUAUGUAAAAGUCUGAAGUUAUCUGAAAUUUUCAAAAUUCUGAAUGUAGCUAGAUGUAUAAGAUGUGUCUUGUCAAGUGAAUUGUCCCUUGUUAUAAUGUGUCAAUUAAAAGAUUAAAAGCUAAAGAAGGAGAAGCUUUAGAAGCUUCAGAAGAUCAAGAACCAGGUUACAAAAUCUGUUCUGAUCUGGAAGAACUGAAAUUUUAAGUUUGCUGUGAAAGGCUAUAAGUCUGUUGAGAAUCGAGACUUCGUUAGAAGUAGUAUUCUGGUAAGUAAUUAUCUGAUUAAGUUCUGUUUCAGUUAUUUGGCUAUAAAAUUGUUUUCAAAUAAUAGUGAAGUUAUUGCUAGGUUUAUCUAUUUGGUAAUUGUAAAUUUCUGUUUCAGCUCGUCUAUUUUAAUCUAGUUCAUUCCACCCGAUGUUUCCUUUAAUUAUGUUAUGUUUUUAAUGUUGUUUUUAUUGACUUUAU
Stegodyphus dumicola is the source of this 1271-nucleotide long non-coding RNA. The record is from RefSeq and is a predicted model, not a curated record. Lineage: Eukaryota; Metazoa; Arthropoda; Arachnida; Araneae; Eresidae.